GAGCAGAGGACCCACCCUCACCCCUGCUGCUCCCAUCCCUAACCCUGCAGGAUACUGGUCCUGGGCUUCAGGGACAUGUGGCUCUGGGGAGGGGGUGACAUCACAGUGACCUGGGGAUAACAGAGUGUGAGAAACCAGGGGCCCCAUGCUCCUGAAGAAGGGAGGCCUGCCCAGGGAACCUUAGGAGGCAGGGGGCCAGGGGACACCAGUGAAGUCAGCCAGCUGCAGGCCAGCCUCCCCCAUCGUUCCCAGCCUGGUGCACAUUCUGCCCAGGCUAGUCUCACAGUGAGGACAGCCAGGAUAAGGCCAGAGGAAAAAGCUUCAUCUUGGCCACAAUGGGGGCAGAGCUCUGGGCACAGGGCUGGGCCACAGCAGCCACAGGGCCAGCCAAGUGGCAAUUACAGGAUGACCUGGACACUGCUCAGGCACACCUGCUACAUAUGAAGCUGAACCUCAGAACCGAACCCACCCCGUAGGCACUGAGGACAACGCAGCUGCCGCCAUCCCUCCAGGAAUGGGGAAUCUGAAACCACAUCCAGUGAAAAAACCUGAUCUGGAGAUCCAGAGGGGGUUGCUGUGGGGGUUGGAAUCUUUCCUCGAGAUUAAAUGAGAGGAAAAGGUGGAAA
Macaca mulatta (Rhesus monkey) is the source of this 626-nucleotide non-coding RNA. Lineage: Eukaryota; Metazoa; Chordata; Mammalia; Primates; Cercopithecidae. The record is from RefSeq and is a predicted model, not a curated record.